GGGUUUGUAGCUCAGCUGGUUAGAGCACACGCUUGAUAAGCGUGAGGUCGGAGGUUCAAGUCCUCCCAGACCCACCA
Molecule: transfer RNA, 77 nt
Filed under: Neisseria meningitidis 87255
Lineage: Bacteria; Pseudomonadati; Pseudomonadota; Betaproteobacteria; Neisseriales; Neisseriaceae
Description: tRNA-Ile
Rfam family: tRNA
About the family: Transfer RNA (tRNA) molecules are approximately 80 nucleotides in length. Their secondary structure includes four short double-helical elements and three loops (D, anti-codon, and T loops).
Source: RNAcentral